This 253-nucleotide ribosomal RNA is filed under the name uncultured bacterium. Its description in RNAcentral is "partial 16S ribosomal RNA". It matches the Rfam family "Bacterial small subunit ribosomal RNA", at positions 524 to 776 of the family's 1533-position model. The record is from RNAcentral.
UACGUAGGGUGCGAGCGUUAAUCGGAAUUACUGGGCGUAAAGCGUGCGCAGGCGGUUCUACAAGUCAGAUGUGAAAUCCCCGGGCUCAACCUGGGAACUGCAUUUGUGACUGUAGGGCUAGAGUACGGCAGAGGGGGAUGGAAUUCCGCGUGUAGCAGUGAAAUGCGUAGAUAUGCGGAGGAACACCGAUGGCGAAGGCAAUCCCCUGGGCCUGUACUGACGCUCAUGCACGAAAGCGUGGGGAGCAAACAGG